GAUUGACCUCGGAUCAGGUAGGGAUACCCGCUGAACUUAAGCAUAUCAAUAAGCGGAGGAAAAGAAACCAACCGGGAUUGCCUCAGUAACGGCGAGUGAAGCGGCAAGAGCUCAAAUUUGAAAGCUGGCCCCUCCGGGGUCCGCGUUGUAAUUUGCAGAGGAUGCUUUGGGUGCGGCCCCCGUCUAAGUGCCCUGGAACGGGCCGUCAGAGAGGGUGAGAAUCCCGUCU
RNAcentral lists this ribosomal RNA (229 nucleotides) under Aspergillus aculeatus. RNAcentral describes it as "partial 28S ribosomal RNA". It matches the Rfam family "Eukaryotic large subunit ribosomal RNA", at positions 1 to 226 of the family's 3401-position model. The record is from RNAcentral. Lineage: Eukaryota; Fungi; Ascomycota; Eurotiomycetes; Eurotiales; Aspergillaceae.